The sequence is a ribosomal RNA, 2957 nucleotides long. It matches the Rfam family "Archaeal large subunit ribosomal RNA". The record is from Rfam.
GAAUGCUGGUACUUCAGCCGUCCGGUGGAUGGCUUGGCUCGGAAGCCGAAGAAGGUCGUGCCAAGCUGCGAUAAGCCCAGGCGAGGCGCAUGGAGCCUUGGAACCUGGGAUUGCCUAAUGGGACUUCCUGAUAUUGUGGAAACAAUAUCGAUCCCAUUUGGGAUCGGGGACUCCCUGAAAUGAAACAUCUUAGUAGGGGAAGGAAAAGAAAUCAAAUCCGAGAUGCCGUUAGUAAUGGCGAAAGAAGGCGGCAUAGCUCAAGCCGAAUCCUUUCUUGAAAAAGAAAGGAGAUGUGGUUCAGCCACACUAGAUCCCUAUCGAGUUGAAGUUGAAGUCUCCUGGAAUGGAGCGCCAAAGAGGGUGAAAGCCCCGUAAACAUAUGCUCGCGGGAUCGUGGCUGGAAAGAGUAGUGUGGGUUGGAUAUCCCGCGCGAAUAAGGGAGGAAUUGACUCCCAAAGCUAAAUACAUCCCGAGCCCGAUAGCGCACUAGUAGCGUGAGUGAAAGCUGAAAAGUACCCUCUAACGGGGGAUGAAAAGAGCCUGAAAUCGGAUGGUGAUAAACCGAUGCUGCUCGAAAGGAAUGACAUGGUUCGAAGGAACUCUCUGAGAAGAGAUAGUACGGGAACCAUUAACCAGGGUAGCAUCUUACGUUUUGAAAAACGGGCCGGGGAGUGCAUCCUGAUGGUGAAGGCUAAGCCUGCUAAGGGCGUAGCCGUAGGGAAACCAAAAAGCCCGCAGCUGCAUUAUGCAGUCAGGGGCAGUGUGUUUAAAGCGCGCGGAAUCAUUGGGAUGCGACCCGAAACCGGGCGAGCUACACGUGGGUAAGGUGAAGCGCCGGGAAACCGGUGUGGAGGCCUGUUAGCCAUGCUGACCUACAAAUCGCUGGCGUGACCUGUGUGUAGGGGUGAAAGUCCAAUCGAGCCCGGCGACAGCUGGUUCCUCCCGAAACACCUCGAAGGGUCGUCUAGUUCGAGGACGCCGGCAAGGUAGAGCACUGAUUGGGGGAAUGGGUCGAGAGACCCUGAACCCCUGUCAAACUCCGAACUUGUUGGCUCUGUGGACAACUGGAAUCAGGUUAUGGCGCAUAAGGCGCCGUGCCGAGAAGGGAACAACCCGGACCAAGGUUAAGGUCCCAAAAUACCGGCUAAGUGCUAAGGCAGAAGGGUGUCCCGGACCAAAGACAGCUGGGAGGUGGGCCUAGAAGCAGCCACCCUUUAAAGAAAGCGUAACAGCUCACCAGUUGAGGUCUGGGGCCCCGAAAAUGGAAGGGGCUAAGCCGGUUACCGAUACCUUGGAACUCCGAGAGGAGAUUUGGUAGGGAGGCGUCCCGUAUGGGUAGAAGCUGGGCCUUGAGGUCCUGUGGACCGUAUGGGAACGAGAAUCCCGGCAGUAGUAGCAGCAAAGUCGGGUAAGAAUCCCGACCACCGAAAGGGCCAGGGUUCCUCGGCAAUGUUCGUCAGCCGAGGGUUAGCCGGGUCCUAAGGCUGUACGUAACACGAUGCAGCCGAAUGGAAAGCAGGUUAAUAUUCCUGCGCCACCCGUGUACUUUGCCAGUUGAGGAACGCUUAAGGAUAAGAUAUGCAGGGUCGUCACCCUGUCCAAGUCCUGAAAUUCAGGGAGAACCGUAAUGGUGAGAACUGAACGAAAGGAUGAUGGCGUAAGAUAUCUGAUUCCUUGGGCCCAUGAAAACCUCAAUUGGAUGGAAACGGGUGCCCGUACCAAGAACUGACACAGGUGCCCUGGCUUAGAAAGCCCAGGUGUGUCGGGUUAACCAACCUGAGGGAAAUCGGCAAAAUGGCCCCGUACCUUCGGAAUAAGGGGUGCCUACUCUACUAGGAGUAGGUCGCAGUGACUAGGAAGCUCGGACUGUUUAAUAAAAACAUAGGUGGUCGCUAGCCCGAAAGGGUUAGUACGGCCAUCGAAUCCUGCCCAGUGCGGGCACCUGAAAACCCGGUACAACGGGGAGAAGGGCCCGUAAACGGCGGGGGUAACUAUGACCCUCUUAAGGUAGCGUAGUACCUUGCCGCUUAAUUGGCGGCUUGCAUGAAUGGACAAACAAGAGCUUCACUGUCCCCAGGUUGGAUCCGGCGAACCUGACUCUCUGGUGCAAAGUCCAGAGUUCCCCAAUGGGAAGCGAAGACCCUAUGGAGCUUUACUGCACCCUGCCGUUGGGCUGUGGUCCCAGAUGUACAGCGUAGGUAGGAGGCGUCGAAACCCUGCCGCCAGGUAGGGCGGAGCCAAUCAUGGGACACUACCCUUCUGGAACCGCAGCCCUAACUCUGCGAAGAGAACAUCGGUAGGCGGGCAGUUUGGCUGGGGCGGCACGCCCCUGAAAAUAUAUCAGGGGUGCCCAAAGGUCGGCUCAGGCGGGACAGGAAUCCGCCGUAGAGUGUAAAGGCAAAAGCCGGCCUGACGGCGUCCUGCUUGGUAACGGACGUCGAGACGAAAGUCUGGCUUAGCGAACCUCCGUGCCCCCUCAAUAGGGGCCGGAGCUGACAGAAAAGCUACCCUAGGGAUAACAGAGUUGUCUCCGGCAAGAGUCCAUAUCGACCCGGAGGCUUGCUACAUCGAUGUCGGCUCUCUCCAUCCUGGCCGUGCAGCAGCGGCCAAGGGUGAGGUUGUUCGCCUAUUAAAGGAGAUCGUGAGCUGGGUUUAGACCGUCGUGAGACAGGUCGGUUGCUAUCUAUUGGGGGUGCUUGGUUACCUGAAGGGAAGGUGGCUCCAGUACGAGAGGAACGAGCCAUCGGCACCUCUGGUCAAGCGGUCGUCUGAUAAGGCGUAGCCGCGCAGCUAUGUGCCAGCAGAUAAGGGCUGAAAGCAUCUAAGCCUGAAGCUGCUCCUGAAAAUAGGUGACCAUAAAGGGUUCCUCUAGAAGAGAGGAUUGAUAGAGCCGGGGUGUAAGCAUCAAGCUAACGCGAGAUGUUUAGCCCGCGGCUACUAACACCCGACCGGUUCAU